AUAGGAAGAAGUAGUUCGAUAGUCGCCUCCUUCCCCAGGACAGGCGCCAUGCCCAUAAUUACUGAAGCCAAAGCUGAUCGAACAUGCUGUGACGAAUCUGAUGACAGUUCCUUCACACAGGGAAGGAUGUGUUGAAUAGCAACUUGUGGGCUCAAUACCCGGCAUACGCUUGUUACCUUUCCAGCAGCAGCUAUACGCACUUCAGCCUCAUUAUCCCGAAGAAGCCGAACAUAAACAGUAACCAAAUCCACCAUGGUGGGUUCAGGCCCAACAGCUUCAGACAACUCAUUUAAUUGAUUUGCAACCAUAUAGCGGACACGCCAAGACUUAUCCUG
Molecule: unclassified non-coding RNA, 335 nt
Filed under: Hevea brasiliensis (rubber tree)
Lineage: Eukaryota; Viridiplantae; Streptophyta; Magnoliopsida; Malpighiales; Euphorbiaceae
Source: RNAcentral